AAUUGACAUGGGCGAAGCUGAUCCAGCAUGCCGGUGCAGGAAGAAGGCCUUCGGGUUGUAAACUGCUUUUGUCAGGGAAGAAAUCUUCUGGGCUAAUACCCUGGGAGGAUGACGGUACCUGAAGAAUAAGCACCGGCUAACUACGUGCCAGCAGCCGCGGUAAUACGUAGGGUGCAAGCGUUAAUCGGAAUUACUGGGCGUAAAGCGUGCGCAGGCGGUUAUGCAAGACAGAGGUGAAAUCCCCGGGCUCAACCUGGGAACUGCCUUUGUGACUGCAUGACUAGAGUACGGCAGAGGGGGAUGGAAUUCCGCGUGUAGCAGUGAAAUGCGUAGAUAUGCGGAGGAACACCGAUGGCGAAGGCAAUCCCCUGGGCCUGUACUGACGCUCAUGCACGAAAGCGUGGGGAGCAAACAGGAUUAGAUACCCUGGUAGUCCACGCCCUAAACGAUGUCAACUGGUUGUUGGGAGGGUUACCUCUCAGUAACGUAGCUAACGCGUGAAGUUGACCGCCUGGGGAGUACGGCCGCAAGGUUGAANA
This 539-nucleotide ribosomal RNA is filed under the name uncultured bacterium. RNAcentral's name for it is "bacterial SSU rRNA". It matches the Rfam family "Bacterial small subunit ribosomal RNA", at positions 359 to 900 of the family's 1533-position model. The record is from RNAcentral.